UUGACGGGGGCCCGCACAAGCGGCGGAGCAUGCGGAUUAAUUCGAUGCAACGCGAAGAACCUUACCAAGGCUUGACAUGUGCCAGACCGCCUCAAGAUGGGGUUUCCUUCGGGGCUGGUUCACAGGUGGGCAUGGUUGUCGUCAGCUCGGUGUCGUGAGAUGUUGGGUUAAGUCUCGCAACGAGCGCAACCCUCGUUCCAUGUUGCCAGCACGUAAUGGUGGGGACUCAUGGGAGACUGCCGGGGUCAACUCGGAGGAAGGUGGGGAUGACGUCAAAUCAUCAUGCCCCUUAUGUCUUGGGCUUCACGCAUGCUACAAUGGCCGGUACAAUGGGUUGCGAUACUGUAAGGUGGAGCUAAUCCCUAAAAGCCGGUCUCAGUUCGGAUUGGGGUCUGCAACUCGACCCCAUGAAGUCGGAGUCGCUAGUAAUCGCAGAUCAGCAACGCUGCGGUGAAUACGUUCCCGGGCCUUGUACACACCGCCCGUCAAGUCACGAAAGUUGGUAACACCCGAAGCCGAUGGCCUAACCAC
Molecule: ribosomal RNA, 531 nt
Filed under: Arthrobacter sp. 430-1
Lineage: Bacteria; Bacillati; Actinomycetota; Actinomycetes; Micrococcales; Micrococcaceae
Description: bacterial SSU rRNA
Rfam family: Bacterial small subunit ribosomal RNA
Source: RNAcentral